This 371-nucleotide ribosomal RNA is filed under the name uncultured organism. RNAcentral's name for it is "bacterial SSU rRNA". It matches the Rfam family "Bacterial small subunit ribosomal RNA", at positions 526 to 896 of the family's 1533-position model. The record is from RNAcentral.
CAGAGGGUGCGAGCGUUAAUCGGAAUUACUGGGCGUAAAGCGUGCGUAGACGGUUAUCUAAGUCGGAUGUGAAAGCCCGGGGCUCAACCUGGGAAUUGCAUUCGAGACUGAAUAGCUAGGGUGCGGUAGAGGGAAGCGGAAUUUCCGGUGUAGCGGUGAAAUGCGUAGAUAUCGGAAGGAACAUCAGUGGCGAAAGCGGCUUCCUGGACCAGCACCGACGUUCAGGCACGAAAGCGUGGGGAGCAAACAGGAUUAGAUACCCUGGUAGUCCACGCCAUAAACGAUGAGGACUAGACGUUGGAGGGUUAAGCCUUUCAGUGUCGUAGCUAACGCGCUAAGUCCUCCGCCUGGGGAGUACGGCCGCAAGGUUG